This 315-nucleotide unclassified non-coding RNA is filed under the name plant metagenome. RNAcentral's name for it is "partial contains 5.8S ribosomal RNA, internal transcribed spacer 2, and large subunit ribosomal RNA". The stretch from base 1 to 105 matches the Rfam family "5.8S ribosomal RNA", at positions 50 to 154 of the family's 154-position model. The record is from RNAcentral.
GAACUGCGAUAAGUAAUGUGAAUUGCAGAAUUCAGUGAAUCAUCGAGUCUUUAAACGCACAUUGCGCCCCCUGGCAUUCCGGGGGGCAUGCCUGUCCGAGCGUCAUUGCUGCCCUUCAAGCCCGGCUUGUGUGUUGGGUCGUCGUCCCCUCCGGGGGACGGGCCCGAAAGGCAGCGGCGGCACCGCGUCCGGUCCUCGAGCGUAUGGGGCUUUGUCACCCGCUCGAUAAGGACCGGCCGGGCGCCAGCCGGCGUCUCCAACCUUUUUUUCUCAGGUUGACCUCGGAUCAGGUAGGGAUACCCGCUGAACUUAAGC